RNAcentral lists this ribosomal RNA (378 nucleotides) under uncultured bacterium. RNAcentral describes it as "bacterial SSU rRNA". It matches the Rfam family "Bacterial small subunit ribosomal RNA", at positions 30 to 391 of the family's 1533-position model. The record is from RNAcentral.
AGUGAACGCUGGCGGCAGGCCUAACACAUGCAAGUCGAGCGGCAGCGGGUCCCCGCGAGGGGAUGCCGGCGAGCGGCGGACGGGUGAGGAACACAUCGGAAUCUGCCUGGUUGUGGGGGAUAACGUAGGGAAACUUACGCUAAUACCGCAUGAGACCCUGAGUCGACGGACUGGGGGUGAAAGUGAGGGACCUUCGGGCCUCACGCGACCAGAUGAGCCGAUGUCGGAUAGCUAGUUGGCGGGGUAACGGCCCGCCAAGGCGACGAUCCGUAGCUGGUUUGAGAGGAUGAUCAGCCACACUGGGACUGAGACACGGCCCAGACUCCUACGGGAGGCAGCAGUGGGGAAUCUUGGACAAUGGGCGCAAGCCUGAUCCAG